Long non-coding RNA from Oncorhynchus tshawytscha (Chinook salmon), 558 nucleotides. NCBI's taxonomy places the organism in Eukaryota, Metazoa, Chordata, Actinopteri, Salmoniformes, Salmonidae. The record is from Ensembl.
CACCCCAGUGCGAGAGAGCUCUGGGACCUCUGGGAAGCCUGCUGGACGUGUCUGAGCCAGGUACUUUGUUCUCGCAGUUGAAGUCCGAGGCCAAACCGCCUUCGACGGCCAUCUCCGCCAUCCUGGUCAAUGUGGCGCCCAAUGUUGUUACUCCCACCAGCACCUCCCCUCCUUUCACCAAAGUAGAGCGGACAUUCGUACACAUUGCCGAGACUACCCACCAUAAUGUGAUGAGCUCCUCAGGGACUCUGCAGCUCAGGCUGCUACUCCCUGGACUGGUUGAGGAGCCCACAGACGAACAGGAGAACCACUCGGAGGAAGAGAAAGAGCAGGAUGUCUUGGAUGGAGAGAAAGAGAGGAGCAGGGAGAGCAGAUCCGAUGUUGACCGUUCAGACUUUGAGAAGGAGAGGGAAAGUGGAUCUGAGGGCAAGGUUCCAAACAGAGACAGUGAAGAGGGGAGGGAGAGUGGAUCUGAGGGCGAGGUUCCAAACAGAGACAGUGAAGAGGGGAGGGAGAGUGGAUCUGAGGGCAAGGUUCCAAACAGAGACAGUGAAGAGG